Molecule: ribosomal RNA, 270 nt
Filed under: uncultured archaeon
Lineage: Archaea
Description: partial 16S ribosomal RNA
Rfam family: Archaeal small subunit ribosomal RNA
Source: RNAcentral
CUGCAGCCCGAGUGGUGAUCGAUUUUAUUGAGCCUAAAGCGUCCGUAGCCGGACUAGUAAACCCUUGGGUAAAUUGGGCAGCUUAACUGUACAAAUUCCGAGGGGACUGCUAGUCUUGGGACCGGGAGAGGUCAGAGGUACUCAAGGGGUAGGGGCUAAAUCCUGUAAUCCUUUGGGGACCACCAGUGGCGAAGGCGUCUGACUAGAACGGAUCCGACGGUAAGGGACGAAACCCUGGGGCGCGAACCGGAUUAGAUACCCGCGUAGUCC